CCCGCCCCCUGCACUGAGGGCCACCCCUGUGGGAUGUGCUGGUGAACAGGACCUGACUGACCUCAAGGAGCCGCCCUCCUCUGAAGAGGGAAGAAAAGCCCCCCACGGGUGUUUCCUGCUUCCAGGAGAGCCCGCCAAGGGCUGCCUCCGUGCCCUUCCGCAGUAGCAGCUGAGCGAGGUGCUCCCGGGGGACGGGCGGGCCCCGCAGACCUGCAGGUUCUGCACAAAGCAAAAGGAAGCUGACGUCACCAGAGGGAGGUAAACAGAAAGACGCUUCCUCUUUCGCUUCCAAGGGCUCCUGCCCGAUUCAGAAGGUUCUCAAACUACAGAACAAUUUCCCUCCCAGCCUGGACGGGGGCUCCGUGACCUGUUCUGGGGCUGCCCCCUUUGUGGCACAGAGAGGGUUAAAAACAGACAAAGCCGGUGGGAGUCCUAGAGUUGGAACAGAAUCCCAGAGCAGGGCUGGGGGGCGGUUUCCAUGCCAACAGCUGCCCCACCCCAUCCCGUCCCCUUCAAGGGUGGGGAAACUCAGUCCCCAAGGGAUCAAGCCAUCUCUGCACAGAUGACUUGAACAGACAAGGCCUCAGCCCUGUGGUUUGGGGGCCCAGGAAACUCGCCUCACCCAAGCAGCUUUCUCACCAUUGGCUCCAGACGCCUACAUGUCCGUCGUCGUGUGAUUACUCCCUGGGGUGUCUCGUCUCGGCUGGAGCAGCAGGGACACCUCGGUUGAGGGGAGCUUCCACUCUGCCACGGCAAGUCCUCUUCUCUCUCUGGUCUCAGUCUCCUUCCCGGCGGAAGGGGCUCCGGCAGCUGCCUCACAGAGCCACUGGCAAGACUACUGAGGCACGACAGCACCAAAACCAAGAAGGAAGCCCCUGUCCAGGCCAGACCAGGCCCGAGCCAAAGCGAACACCCAGAAGUGCACGAGGCGGCAUGAGGUUGGCGGGGAUACAAGGUAAGUGUCCCGUCCCUGCCUUUGGCAGCCCAGAUGCCUUGGGGAGGAGCCCCCCAGGAUGACGAGCUUGAGCCUGAUGCCCUCAUCAGGCCCCCCGUGAAGAAGAGAGAGGAGCACCGAGUGUCCUUUCUGAGUGCCCAGGCUGGGAGGGUGCUCUGUGGCCUCCUGCGGCCAAGGCCAGCGCCUGCGCUCAGCUGGCUCCAGCCUGUGACACUUUGAUGUUCCCCAAACUGGAGUCCCCGGAGCCACGUCCAGCCGGCGCGUCCUAACAUGUAUUUUUCAUCACGAAGAAAGAAAAGCCCUCGUGGAAGAGCCACAGGUGGCCUCGAGGGCAACCAUGCCACGCCCGCUCCCGGGGCUCAUCAGUUCCGUGGCCGGGACUCUCGUGCCCGCCCAUGACUCCUCCACAGUUACGGUCCCAGGAGCUCCGGGACCUGCGCGUCCCCAGAGCAGUCCGGUCAGUGCCGCCAGGCAGACGCUUACGGGAGGCCAGCGCCCACGGCUGGAGGUUCCUCUGGGAAUGGAAACUGCCCCUGAGGGUGUAUCGUGGUACCUGCUCAGGGCUGCUGGGGACCCCGCCGUGAGCAAGGAUCCCAAUUCCUGUUCUCUGAGCUUCAGGACAGGAGCCAGGGCACAGGGUACGAGCCCCGGAGGAAAACGAUGAUGGGGACGCGGGUUGCGGAGUGCGUGUCGCCGAAGACGUUGACGUUUUGGAUCAGGUGUCCCUGAAGACCUCGGUCUCUCUUCAAGAGCUCCGCCAAGGUCGCAAGUUGUGAGGGCGCUGAGACCGUCCGGCGCGUGCUGUUCAGGUGUCGCUCCGGCUCGGUGUUCCCCGCAGACCCAUCGAUGGAGCAUUUGUCAAAUAUACCAAGCGCAGUUGGGCCAGGAGGCGAAGCCAGAGCUGCGGCGGUGAGAGCGGGCGCUUAGCCGUCCUGCCACGAUGGCAAAACUCCGGGUGAGGACAAACCGCUUCCGGGAAGACUGGACCCGGCACCGGCUGUCGCCCCGGUGCCGUCGGUGCAGGGACGUGGCGAGGCGGCCUCCUGGCCCGCCGGGGGUUGGGAAGCCUGACGCAGAGAUCGGGGCAUGAGGUGAGCUCGGUCUGUCGGAGGAGAAGUCAUUUGACAUAAACGCACUUUGGGCUAAAGAAAGAUUCGCAGUAAGGGAAAGAGCAGAGUUCGGGGCUGACUUGGCGCUCUCACACGAUUCUUUGGAAAAGGUUUAAUUAGAACAGGUUCCAAAUGGCUGUAGGAAAACCCCACAGUCCAUACGAACCCAGAGACCCCUUGCUAAAUCCAGGCUGUGUCUGGGGCAGGGGGCCGCGGUGCUGGGGACAAUCGCCCCGUUUGACUUGGAUUCCCACCGUGGUAUGAGCCGGUCACUCAGUCGCUGAGGCGGGGGGCCAUGCGGCUGGUCCACGCCCGGCUGGCUCCAGGCUCCGGGUUGCUCUGUGCUGGGUAAGGGGUGAACGGUGUCUCUGAGAAGGACGGACUGACACCAGGCUUAGCAACCCCCCCACUGCCCCCCCAGCACACCUGAGGGCACGCAGCAGUCCAGCGUCCCCAGACCUCAGCCUGAGG
Enhydra lutris kenyoni (northern sea otter) is the source of this 2535-nucleotide long non-coding RNA. RefSeq lists it as uncharacterized. The record is from RefSeq and is a predicted model, not a curated record. Lineage: Eukaryota; Metazoa; Chordata; Mammalia; Carnivora; Mustelidae. The transcript has 3 exons.